This 1136-nucleotide long non-coding RNA is filed under the name Olea europaea subsp. europaea. Lineage: Eukaryota; Viridiplantae; Streptophyta; Magnoliopsida; Lamiales; Oleaceae. The record is from RNAcentral.
AUCAAGAGACCCUAAUGGUUAUUAUUCUUUGUUAUGUGUCUCAUUGUCUGGGUUUCCUAAACAUGUUCAGAAAAGAGUUCUAGAACAUCCAUAUAAAGAUUUUCUAUAUAACUGGUCAUCACACUUAAAUAAGAGUUAUGCUUUUAAUAUGGAAGAAUUGUUCCUUAUCGGUGUCCAUUCGAGCCUUUGAUGUUGCAAUUAUUUUUUUCUACAGACAGUCUGCAGCGAUAGUUCCUUGUGCUCAUUAUGCACAAUCAAUUGAAAAUUUUGAUAAUAAGUUGCAUGAGUUUUUGCUUUUUGGAGUUCCAUGGCGAUACUUGGUUAAAAGGAAUCGGUUUGGUUAUUUGGUUCAUAAGGAGGAUUGCCCUCUUUGGUUUGGGUUUAGUCUAAUGACGUCCAAGAUUCAAUACAGGAAGUUGGUCAAGACAAAAGAUAGGCCUCCUUGGAUUAUGAAGUUCCAAUCUAGCUUGUUGGAGUCGAAUUUUCUCAAUCGGGGAAAAAUGAUGCAAUAUUAAAGAGAGAUUAUUAUAUUUUGAUUUCAUUGAUUUUAUAAUAAUUCCCUGCUUUAAUUAGGACUAGAUUAAACCCUAUAUAAAGGGGUCUUUUACGUUGUAAUAGAACGACUUGAUUAGAUGAAAUGAAUUGAUAUUCUCCCCCCCAUUUCUCUCUAUUCUCUCCCCGUUCUUCUUCUCUUUUUCCUUCCUUUCUCCUUUUCUCUCCCCUUUCCCCUUCUCUUUUAAGUGGUCGUAUACAUCCAGUGUCACUAAUUGCCCAAUAGGUCUUACAGAUUGACUCUUCCUAGUGGCUAGGGCCGUCCUAUUCAUUGAUUUCUUUAUUUUUAUUUUUUUUGCUUUAUUACAAUUUACAUGUGAACAAUGUAUUGUUUGAUCAUUCUAACAUUUGCCACAAGCUAUUUAAGAUGUCCUGGCUCAAAGUUUAUUAUCUCGGAUGUGCUCUUUUUGAAUGACAGAUGCACUUUGAUUAUACCUAUGGAGCUUAUUUUGAUUAUGGAAAUCAUCCCGACCAGGUAUAUGCUUUUGUCUUUCAAGUAAUCACGUCUCUUAUUGGUUCUGUUUUGGGAUCACAACUCUUUAAAGUGCAAACAUUUCAGAAUUUAAUAAGCCUCAUCCUUUAUA